Molecule: RNA transcript, 14031 nt
Organism: Rhagoletis zephyria (snowberry fruit fly)
Lineage: Eukaryota; Metazoa; Arthropoda; Insecta; Diptera; Tephritidae
Gene: stan
Gene name: Protocadherin-like wing polarity protein stan
Source: RefSeq, a predicted model, not a curated record
UGGCGUUUGGACGUGUUUCGGAAGAAUUGGUGGUAACGGCGAGGUUUGUGAACCCAUAACACUGUUCAGGGUACAUUCAUAUAUGACAGUGAGGGUGCAUCCCAUCAUCAUCAUUAGGGGAGAAGUGGUGAAUAGUGAGACAAAGCUACAUACAUAUACAUACGCACAUAAAAGCAAAUGAUUACAAUUGUGUACACACACCAAAAGCAAUAAUGAUACAAGAAUAGUUUGCAGUGCAAGAAAAUAAAAGAUAAAAGUAAGUGUUAAAAGUUGAGUGGAGUCAGCAACGAAUGUGCAACACAAAAUACAUACAACAAAAAGGAGAGAAAAAAAAUCUAGAAACGACAACGGUAGUGUGGCAAAGUGGCAAGUUGGCCUUUUCGUCUUACCGGUUUUUUGACAUCAACACAUACAUACAUACAAACAAACAAACCCAUACAGAUGUGGUGUGUAUUUACACAUAUACAUACUUAUGUUUGCUUGUAACUUGGCUUGUUUGGUAAAUAUUUGUGUAUAAAUUGUGCGUCCAAACGCGUUUAUUGCGCCAACAGCGCUGCCAGCAUUGGCGCUAACAUUAUUAACGUUGACUUUGCGGUCGUUGUGUUGCUUUGAGCCAUUCGAAAAUGUAUCUGUGUAUAUAAAUAUUUCGUUGCGACAGCUGUAUGUAUUUGUUUGCGCGUAUAAGUGUUAGUGUUGGCUUGCUUGUAAACGUUUUUGGAUUGAAGUUGGCUUUUUGAUCUUUGUGGGCCGACUUUGAGUGUAUCUUGUCUCUGGCUAGCUCGCAAUUUUUUGUGGCUUUUGAAGCCUUUUUUUAUUCACGAAUACAGUGUGCUUUGUGUGUGAAUUUGAGAAAAUCCAAACUUAAGCUUACAGAAGCGAGCAUAGUUGUGGAGCAACAAUAACAACAAAUAGCAAAAGAAAAAAAUAAAAGUAAUAUAUGAAAUAAAAAAAUAUAUACAUACAUACAUAAAUAUCACAGGCCAAGUCGUCGUUUGGCUACAAAUACAGUUGUUGUGCAAUUCACGAGAUUAACGUCAAGUAUUUGUGUUGACCGUUUGGCAUGGAUAAGAAGCAUUUGUUGUGAAAGCCCCAAAUAUACAUAUAUAUAUAUGUAUGAACAUAGAUACAUAUCGAAUCAAUAAAAAAAAAAUAUCUGACGUAGUGAAUUACGAAUUCAAACCAGAAGCAAACGUAAAAGUAAGCCAAUAUAUUGGUCUACUCAUAAAUUUAGUGUGAAAAGUAUCUAAUUUGAAAAAGUUUUGCAAAGUGUUAAAAAAGUAAUUAAAAAAAAAGUAUAUAAAAGAAGAACAUAAUAGUUUAUUAGUGAAACUUUCCGUGUGUUUUUCUGAUUAUAAGCGCGCUAAGCCUGCCUCUACAUACAUACAUACAUACAAAAUAACGACUAGGUACAAGGCGCAUCGCAAAUUUCCUUCGUCUGUUGGCGUACUAAAGCAAAAAUAACAAUCUGUGGGCGCGCAUGUGCGUAUGUUUGUGUUUUUGAAUAUUUAUGUAUAAGCGGUAAAAGUGUUUGCAAAGUCUAGUAUAAAAAAAAAUUACUGGUACUUGCGGAUUAAGUUGGAAUGAAAAUUUUACGAAACUUUUAAUCCUGAAUCAAUUGUUAGGUAACCCCCAAUUUAGUCCGAAGGAUAAUUCAGUGCAAAAAGGAAUGAUUAUGACAUGCGGCUAUAAUAACUAUAUGCCACAAAAUGUUGAAAUUUGCAUCACAGCAACACAAUAAAUUACAUGUAACCACUUCCAGUAUAAAAGCCAAGAUGCCAACGUCAGCGAAUUACGCGCAACAAAUGCGAAUUUAAUAAACGCUGCGCGGAACGGUGGAGGUUCGACUGACUGAGUGGUGAAACGCGAACCACGCCACUUUACACCACCACCUACACAACACAACGCCGCACUCGACAUUUAGGUGCUUUGCACACGCUAACGGCGUACAAACAUUUAAAUAUCAAGCAAACAUACAAGUAGCAGAAAAUGUUAGUCGGAACAGCGCGCCAGCGGAAAAUUUCAUUUAAUAGUUGUUAUAAUAGUGGCAGCGGUAGAAGUGGAAUUAAAGCCAGAAAGGACGACGACGGCGCUAGCUGUAGUGGAAGCUGCGAAAAUGAAUACAGCAGCAGCGCAUAUAGUUAUUGCAUUGUGCGCUUCAACGCGCUGCCAUCGCUCUGCACAAUCUUGCUACUGCUGCUUCUUUCCACCGCACAACUGUUGCACUUAGCGCACGCUUAUCUGAUCAUUGUGCAUGAGGACGUGCCUGCGGGUGCAGUGGUUUUUAAUGCCUCCGUCUACAAGCUCGGCUCGGAGCGACAUUAUAAAAUUAACGCACAUAAAUCAGCGCACUUUGUACACCAUCUGGUCGCCGUCAAUCACAAAGAUGGUCAAAUACAGUUACGCAAGCAACUCAAGUGCGAUGGCAUCUACUACCCCAACCUAUUUACCUUCUAUGUGGACUCGACGUCGAAUCGGCUGCGCAGCAUUGACUACUACAGCCUGCCGGUGCGAAUAUUUGUAACGGGGCGGGAUUGCAAUGAAGAUCGGCGCAUAGAGGAAGAGAUGCAUAGUAGGCACUAUGAGGAGGAAGAAACGGGGUACUCGAAACGCCGCAGACGCUACGUGGACACGAUAGCGCACCCCGAUUUGCGCUACUUCGGCGCCUAUCUAGCGCAUCCGAGAAACAAUGUGGAUCUUUUGCCGGCGAGCAGCGAGUCGGAUGUACUCAAUCACAACAAUAGUCGACAUGAGUUUCGUGAUGGUGAUCUGAUAUUUGGCGACAAUUUCGACAAUGAAAUGCGUCAUCGCAUACUCAGCCGCAAGCGUCGCGCGAAGCAACAGCUACAACUCGAACCGUCACUGCACCGCCGCAUCUCCGAUGCCAAGCAAUGGAUCUCGGAAACGUACGCCUCCUAUGCCAUACACACAACGGACAAAUGGAAUCAAAUCUGCUUGCGUCAGUCACAGUUCAUCAACAAUCUCAAUGCCUUCUUGCCAAAGUCCAUUUGCCAGUACUGCAAAGUGAACUUUUUGGACGUGAAUGACGAACGCUUUGCCAUCGAGCAUCAAAAUCACGAUUUGGUGGCGAGUCGUGACGUCUGCAUACACGAGUCCAUGUGGAAGGUGAGCAUAACUUUCAACAUACGCUGCACACGCCCGGAAAUCGUAGACUCUGAUCAUCGCCUCAAGAUCGUCUAUCACUACCAGGAAUUCAAUGACACCGAUAUAGCAAAGCGAGUACGCCGCGAGCUGCGUAAUCAGUCGCCUUAUUUUGAACAGGCACUUUAUGUGGCAUCAGUGCUGGAAGAGCAGCCGGCCGGUUCGGCUGUGACAACAGUGCGCGCGCGUGACCCCGAAGACUCGCCGGUGGUGUACUCGAUGGUAUCUUUGCUGGACUCACGUUCGCAGUCGCUCUUUAAGGUAGACUCGCGCACUGGUGUGGUCACGACUUCGGCGAGUUUGGAUCGUGAGCUUAUGGAUGUCCAUUAUUUUCGUGUGGUUGCGACAGACGAUAGUUUUCCGCCACGCUCGGGCACGACGACGCUGCAAGUGAACGUGCUCGACUGCAAUGAUCAUAGUCCGACUUUCGAGGCUGAGCAGUUCGAAGCGAGUAUACGCGAAGGUGCGACAGUUGGUUCGACGGUGAUCACUUUGCGGGCUACGGAUCAGGAUAUCGGAAAAAAUGCGGAGAUCGAGUAUGGCAUAGAGAGUGUGACUGAUGGCUCUGGCACUUUACAGGACCAGGAAAUGCCGAUAUUUCGCAUCGAUGCACGCUCAGGUGUCAUUUCCACCCGCAGCGCACUCGACCGCGAGACCUCGGAUAGCUAUAAUCUCAUCGUCACCGCUUCGGACAUGGCUUCAGCACAGAGCGAACGCAAAACCGCCACCGCUACAGUAAUCGUGAAAAUCUUAGACGACAACGACAACUAUCCGCAAUUCAGCGAGCGCACCUACACAGUGCAAGUGCCCGAGGAUCAGUGGGGUGAUGAUAAUGUGGUGGCGCACAUUCGCGCCACUGACGCUGACCAGAGCAACAAUGCGGCCAUACGUUAUGCCAUUAUUGGCGGCAAUACGCAAUCCCAGUUCUCGAUUGAUUCCAUGAGUGGUGAUGUGACUCUUGUCAAGCCGCUGGACUAUGAGAGCGUGCGCAGUUAUCGUCUGGUGAUACGCGCACAGGAUGGCGGCAGUCCAUCGCGCAGCAACACCACACAGCUUCUGGUGAAUGUGAUUGAUACGAAUGAUAAUGCGCCGCGCUUCUACACCUCACAAUUUCAAGAGUCAGUGCUGGAGAAUGUGCCAGUAGGCUAUAAUAUAAUACGCGUGCAAGCUUAUGAUGCGGAUGAGGGCGCCAAUGCGGAGAUCAUUUACAGCAUUUCUGAGCGCGACGACAACUUUCCGCUGGCUGUCGAUCCGCGCACUGGCUGGGUGCAGACAAUCAAGCAACUAGAUCGCGAGGAGCAAAGUCGCUUCACUUUUCAAGUUGUAGCUAAAGAUGGUGGCGUGCCGCCCAAGUCAGCGAGCUCGACUGUGGUGAUAACGGUUCAAGAUGUAAACGACAACGAUCCCACAUUCAAUCCAAAAUAUUAUGAAGCCAAUGUGGGUGAGGAUCAACCGCCUGGCACGCCUGUGGUAACUGUUACAGCCACUGAUCCGGAUGAGGACUCACGCCUGCAUUACGAACUCACUUCGGGAAAUACACGCGGCCGCUUUGCAAUUACUUCACAAAAUGGGCGUGGUCUUAUUACGAUUGCGCAAUCGCUGGACUACAAGCAAGAGAAACGUUUUGUGCUCACUGUUACAGCCACAGAUUCAGGCGGUCGCUCGGACACAGCUACCGUUAAUAUUAAUAUCACAGAUGCCAAUAAUUUCGCGCCAAUAUUCGAGAAUGCACCCUACAGCGCAUCGGUGUUCGAGGAUGCGCCAAUUGGUACGACGGUGUUGGUAGUGUCCGCAACCGACAGCGAUGUGGGCAUCAAUGCGCAGAUCACUUACUCGCUGAAUGAGGAGAGCAUAAAUGGGCUCGGAAGUCCAGAUCCAUUCGCAAUCAAUGCACAAACUGGCGCAAUUGUUACAAGUGCACUGUUGGAUCGCGAGGCGACUAGUGGCUAUCUGCUUACGGUCACCGCAAAGGAUGGUGGCAAUCCGUCGCUAAGUGAUACCACCGAUGUAGAGAUUAGCGUUACCGACGUGAAUGACAAUCCACCCGCAUUCAAGAAUCCACUAUACCAGGCAUCAAUUCUUGAGGAUGCACUAGUCGGCACUUCUGUUAUACAGGUGUCAGCAACGGACCCCGAUAUAGGACUGAAUGGACGCAUCAAGUAUCUGCUGAGCGAUCGCGAUGUAGAGGAUGGCUCAUUUGUCAUCGACCCCACUUCCGGCACAAUACGCACCAACAAGGGCUUAGAUCGCGAGAGUGUCGCCACUUAUCAUCUAACCGCCAUCGCUGUAGACAAGGGCUCGCCACCACUUUCAAGCACCGUGGAAGUGCAGAUACGUUUAGAAGACGUAAACGACUCACCGCCAACAUUCUCCUCGGACAAGAUAACGCUUUACGUGCCGGAAAACUCGCCCGUGGGCUCCGUAGUUGGCGAAAUACAUGCACACGAUCCGGACGAAGGCGUCAAUGCGGUGGUUCACUACUCGAUUAUUGGUGGCGACGACUCGAAUUCCUUUUCAUUGGUCACACGUCCGGGUUCGGAGCGCGCGCAGCUGCUGACUAUGACCGAGCUGGACUAUGAGUCGAAUCGCAAGCGUUUCGAAUUGGUCAUACGCGCGGCUAGCCCGCCGUUGCGCAAUGACGCGCAUGUGGAGAUUUUGGUCACCGAUGUCAACGACAAUGCACCGGUAUUGCGUGACUUCCAAGUAAUCUUCAACAACUUCCGCGAUCACUUUCCAAGUGGAGAGAUCGGCAGAAUACCUGCAUCGGAUGCUGACGUCACUGACAAACUAACAUAUCGCAUACUCUCCGGCAACAAUGCGAAUCUGAUACGAUUGAAUACAACUUCAGGUGGUUUAGUACUUAGCCCGCAAUUGAAUACAAAUGUCCCCAAAUUCGCAACGAUGGAAGUUUCCGUCUCGGAUGGCAUCAAUGAAGCAAAGGCCAUAAUGCAGCUUUCGGUACGCUUGAUCACAGAAGAUAUGUUGUUCAAUUCUGUUACAGUGCGUUUGAAUGAAAUGACCGAGGAGGCAUUCCUGUCGCCGCUGCUUAACUUUUUUCUCGAUGGCCUGGCAGCGAUUAUUCCUUGCCCCAAGGAAAAUAUCUUCAUCUUUUCCAUACAAGACGACACCGAUGUCACGUCGCGCAUCUUGAAUGUGAGCUUCUCCGCUAAACGGCCAGAUGUUUCGCACGAGGAAUUCUACACGCCACAAUAUCUGCAGGAGCGCGUCUACUUAAAUCGUGCCAUACUAGCGCGUCUCGCCACAGUUGAGGUGCUGCCCUUUGACGACAACCUUUGCGUGCGGGAGCCUUGUCUCAAUUUCGAAGAGUGCCUCACCGUGCUCAAGUUCGGUAAUGCCUCAGAGUUCAUACACAGCGACACUGUACUCUUCCGCCCUAUCUAUCCGGUAAAUACUUUUGCGUGUUCGUGUCCCGAAGGCUUCACGGGUAGCAAGGAGCAUUAUUUGUGCGACACAGAGGUGGACCUUUGCUAUUCGGACCCUUGCCGCAACGGCGGUACAUGCGUGCGUCGCGAAGGCGGCUACACCUGCACUUGUUCGCCGAAGCAUACGGGCGUUAACUGUGAAACGGAGAUAUCAACGCUGAAGCCCUGCAUGUCGGAUGCCUGUGACGGCGGUUAUUCCUGCAUGAAUUCCUUUCUAAGCUCACAACCGCCACCGUACACAGCGACGUGUGAGCUGCGCUCACGUUCGUUCUCCAAAAACUCCUUCCUUACCUUCGAGAGCCUCAAACAGCGACAUAGAUUCAACCUGAAAUUACGGUUUUCGACUGUGCACGAUAACGGUUUACUGCUAUACAAUGGGCGUUACAAUGAGCUGCACGACUUCAUUGCACUUGAAAUACUCGAGGGUCAUUUGAGCUUCUCAUACUCGCUGGGCGAUAGUAAACAAAGUGUCUCGGUCGUGCAACAGGCGAAGGUCUCCGAUGGCGAAUGGCACGAUGUUGAGGUGAUAUAUCUGAAUCGGACAGUGACACUUGUACUGGACAAGUGCGACACAGCAAUAGCGCUGGCCGGAAAUUUAGGCGAUCGAUGGAGCUGCGCCAAUCAAACGACCCUAAAGCUAGACAAACGUUGCGCGCUGCUCACCGAAACCUGUCACCGCUUUUUGGACUUGACAGGUCCGCUACAAUUGGGUGGCUUACCACGCAUACCCGCACACUUCCCCGUGGAGAACCAAGAUUUCAUUGGAUGCUUAUCUGACCUGCGCAUCGACGAUCGCUACAUUGAUCUCAACUCGUAUGUAGCCGAUAAUGGCACCAUCUCCGGUUGUCCGCAAAAGUCACCACUCUGCUCGUCGGAACCUUGUUUUAAUGGAGGAGUUUGCCGUGAAGGCUGGAACACUUACACUUGCGAGUGCCCUGAAGGCUAUGCAGGCAAUGCAUGCCAGGAGACCAUACCCGCACCAUGGCGCUUCUCCGGCGAUGGCAGCCUUAGCUUCAAUCCAUUGUUGAGGCCGAUACAACUACCCUGGGUCACCUCACUAUCCAUGCGUACUUUACAGCUGGACGCGUUUCUGCUACAGAUACAAAUUGGGCAAAAUAGCUCUGCGGUACUUUGUCUGAAGAACGGCAUACUCUAUUACAUAUAUGAAAACGAACCAAUGUACUUAGCUGGCGCUUAUCUCUCCGACGGCAACUGGCAUCGUAUCGAGGUUAAAUGGCUUAAUUCGGAAAUACAGUUCUCCGUAGACUACGGGCAACGCAGCGGCGUUGUGCCGAUGUCACAGAAAGUACAAGGGCUCUACGUUGGAAAGAUUGUCAUCGGUAGCGCUGACGGUUCAAUUGGGGCGGUUUUCGAUAUGCUACCCUUCGAAGGCUGCAUUCAAAGUGUGCGCAUUGGCGCCUCUCAAUCUGUGUUGUCGCGUCCAACGAUACGCGAAAAUGUCGAAGACGGCUGCAUGUCGCGUGCAGAAUGUCCGGAAACUUGUCCACCGCAUUCCACAUGCGCGACUACUUGGGACGAAGCGCGUUGUGAGUGCUUACCUGGUUACGUUGGGCCCGAGUGUCUGCCUAUAUGCACCGUCAAACCCUGCGUGGCUGGUGUGUGCCGCGCGAACGUCAGCGAACCACGCGGCUACAAAUGCGAAUGCAACAGUUCCUUGCAGCAUGGUGAAUAUUGUGAGAAGACGGUGCAGCAGCCCUGCCCCGGCGGCUGGUGGGGCGAGAAGGUAUGUGGACCAUGCAAGUGUAACCUGAAGCAGGGAUACCAUCCGGACUGCAAUAAGACCACCGGCCAGUGUUAUUGCAAGACAAACCACUACCAGCCACCAAAUGAGACAGCUUGCAUACCUUGCGACUGCUACUCGAUAGGCUCAUUCAGCGGCGCUUGCAAUCCACUGACAGGUCAGUGUGAGUGUCGCGAGGGUGUGAUAGGACGCCGCUGUGACUCGUGCUCAAAUCCGUAUGCGGAAGUUACACUAAAUGGCUGCGAAGUCGUUUAUGAUGCCUGCCCGCGCUCAUUUGCCGCGGGUAUUUGGUGGCCACGUACUCCGCUCGGCAGCACGACUGUGGAAAAUUGUCCUUCACCGGCCAGAGGCAAGGGACAACGCAACUGCGACGCCAUGUCGGGUGGUUGGAAUCAAGCGGAUAUGUUUAAUUGCACUUCAGAUCCAUUUGUUGAGCUGCGCAAACAACUUUCGCAAUUGGAGAAGCUUGAACUGGAACUCAACUCAUUUGUUGCCAUUAAAAUGGUGGAAAACUUGCAGCAAGCAUGCGAGACUGUAGAUCGCUCGAGCGCUGUGAAAAAGAAAAUUGUAAAGGAUAGUCGGCGUUACAAAAUGGAGUCCUCCUUUCUGCUGAAUGAAGGCAGCAAUAUGUGGUCUAAUGAACUGGAAAUGGACUAUCUUUCCGAUGAGCUAAAGUUUACACACGACCGCCUAUAUGGCGCUGAUCUUCUAGUUACUGAAGGCAUCCUACAGGAGUUGAUCAACUACGAGCUAAUGCAGAACGGCCUGAAUCUGACACAUAGCCAAGACAAGUAUUUCAUUAAGAAUCUAGUGGAUGCCGCAAGCGUCAUAUUGGACCGUAAAUAUGCGAGCGAGUGGAAACGUGCAACCGAGUUGAUACAGCGUGGACCUGACGAUCUUGUGGAUGCAUUCAAUAAGUAUAUGGUAGUGCUAGCCAGCUCACAGCAUGACACAUAUACCAAUCCUUUCGAGAUAGUGCAGCGCAACAUGGUUUUUGCUUUGGAUAUAAUUACAACUGAAUCCCUUUUUGGCUAUGAACCCGAACAGCUUAGUGAAUACCACAAAACAAAACUCAAUCUGAAACCGAAUGCGUACACAACUGAAAGCGUGAUUUUGCCCGACACGAGCGGUUUCCUGCAGCACUCCUCGAAGCAGAAGCCAGUGAUUACCUUCCCCAAGUACAACAAUUACAUACAGGAUAAAACGAAAUUCGAUAAGUACACUAAAGUGUUGAUUCCGCUGGAAAUGUUGGGUAUAACACCGCCCGGCAGCAAUGAAGUCACACAGAAUGCCAUCGAUUACCGCGCCAUCGUUUCCUAUGCGCAGUACAAAGAUGUGGGGCAACUACUGCCAGACCUGUACGACGAGACCAUCACACGUCGCUGGGGUGUCGACGUCGAAGUGGCCUCGCCUAUACUCUCACUCGCCAUUUUAGUACCAUCCAGCGAUACCGAAGAGAAACGCAUAGAGAUACCUUUCCGAAAAAUCUCAUCUCAAAAGACUGGCUCCAACGAACAGCAGUUCAUCGAGGUAUUCGAUGUGCCGAAAACGAGCAGCAGUGGCAGCGAGGAGCACAUGAUUGAGAACAUACGCAUCACAGCGCAUGAAAUACUACCACCAGCUGCGACGAAUUCACAUGAAGCAAGCGCCGAAGUGACAAGCAACGAAGCUGUAGAGGUCGCAGACGACGAAGAGCCACACAUUAGCGUGCGCUUCGACGAUGACAACAUCGAAUUCCACGGUGACACCGGCGAGGAAGUAGUCGAUUCACCUGAGUUGACAAAUCCACAUUUCGAAGCUGGUUCAAGCGAACAGCAAAAAGGUGAGAACGAAGCAAUCUACCGCAGUCGCAGACUGGUCAAGCGCCAGGUAGAAGUCAUCUACCCAUCCGAACAGCAACAAACACAACAGCGCGUCAUCUAUCGUUCGCUGGGCUCUCCACAUCUCUCACAGCCCAUCAAGCUGCAAAUGUGGCUGGACAUUGAUCCAGCGCGCUUUAGUCCACGCUCAAAUCCACAAUGCGUGCGUUGGAACUCAUUCACCAGCCAAUGGACCCGACUGGGUUGUCAAACCGAGGUGCCCGACUUCAAUGAGCUGCCAGUCGAUGGACAACCCAUCAUCGUUAACUGUUCCUGCACGCACGUUUCGAAUUACGCCGUAAUUGUGGACAUCAUUGACCCCGAAGAUAUACCUGAGCCUUCUUUAUUGGUGCAAAUCACAUCCUACUCCGCAUUUAUGGUCUCACUGCCGGUGCUGCUGAGCGUACUCAUUGCUUUGGCGCUGCUGCGUGGUCAACAAACCAAUUCGAAUACCAUACACCAGAAUAUCGUGCUGUGCGUGUUCUGCGCCGAGUUGCUUUUCUUCGUUGGCAUGCAGUCACGUCGCAAUUUGCUUGAAAAUGAAUUCCCCUGCAAGCUUAUAGCGAUUUGCUUGCAUUACUUCUGGCUGGCCGCAUUCGCUUGGACGACCGUCGACUGUGUGCACCUGUAUCGCAUGCUUACCGAGAUGCGUGACAUCAACCAUGGACCAAUGGGAUUCUACUUUGCCAUGGGCUAUGGUGCACCAGCCAUUGUGGUCGGACUUUCGGUGGGCGUGCGGGCGCAUGAGUAUGGAAAUAGUUUGUUCUGUUGGCUUUCCGUAUACGAGCCGGUCGUGUGGUGGCUGGUCGGUCCCAUUGCGGGUAUGUCGGUGGUGAAUCUACUAAUACUGUUUGUAUCUGUGAAAGCUGCAUUCACGCUUAAAGAUCACGUACUCGGUUUUGGCAAUCUACGCACGUUACUUUGGUUAUCUGUCGUCUCGCUGCCCAUGAUGGGCGUCAUGUGGGUGUUGGCUGUGUUGGCUGCUUCCGAGAAUUCGCAGAUGCUGAGCAUCCUCUUGUCCGGUGUGGUAGUGCUGCAUUCCAUUUUCUGUCUCAUUGGCUAUUGUAUUAUAAACAAGCGCGUGAGGGAAAAUUUGCAACGCACCUUCUUGCGUUGUAUGGGACGGAAAGUGCCAUUGUUAGAUUCUUCGCUAGUUGUGAGCAAUAGUUCACAUAAUGUGAAUGGGGCGACGAGACCGAACAAUUUCCUAGCGGGUAGCUACGAUACUGCGCGAAGGAAUGUGGGCAUCAGUGUCUCGAGCACGACCUCCAGGAGUACGGCGAAAACAAGCUCAAGUCCAUAUAGUGAUGGCCAGCUACGCCAGACCUCUACAUCUACCUCGAACUACAACUCGGCCAGCGAUGCACCCAGCUUUCUGCGCGGCUUCGAAUCCUCUACCGGCGGCGGUGGUGGCGGUGCUGGACGCCGUGAAGAAAAAUCUCGUCGUCAUCGCAAAGACUCCGAUUCAGGCUCCGAAACCGAUGGCCGCUCAUUAGAACUCGCUUCUAGCCACUCAAGCGAUGAUGAUGAAUCACGCACCGCGCGAUCCUCGGGCACGCAUCGCAGCACCGGUGUCAGCGCUACCCCCUCAUACCUGCCCAACAUUACCGAGCAUGUGCAAGCAACUACGCCGCCCGAGUUAAAUGUCGUACAAAGUCCACAGCUCUUCCCAAGCGUCAAUAAACCUGUCUACGCGCCGCGUUGGUCGAGUCAAUUGCCUGACGCUUACCUACAGUCGCCGCCGAAUGUGGGACGCUGGUCACAGGAAACUGGUUCCGACAAUGAGCAUGUGCACGGCCAAAAAGUUACCAUCUCACCAAACCCACUGCCAAAUCCAGAUCUCACGGACACCUCCUACCUGCAACAGCAUCAUAACAAAAUCAACAUGCCUCCAUCGAUAUUGGAAAAUCUGCAAAACGUGCGUAAUGAUAAUGGCUAUGAGGCACACGAACGCGACAGUAUUUACCGCCGCAAGGACUACCCGGAUAGUUAUGGACAAUUCGACACACUACCCGUCGCGGGUAACUACAAGCCACCCAGCCACUAUGGCAGUGAGAAGGAGUAUAAUGGCGGCGGCAGUGGUGGUGGUGGUAGUGGCAGCGGCAGUGGUAGUGGUAGCGCUGGCGGCGGCAAUGGUGGCACACAAAUCGUCAACCACAUGCGCUCCUUCCACCCGGAUGCGGCUUAUCUCAGCGAUAGCAUUUAUGACAAACAACGCACACUGGGCUAUAUGGGCCCCAAAGCGGACUCGCCGUAUAUGUCCAAAGAGCGCAUUGCGCCCGAUAUUUAUGGCUCACGCGAAAAUCACUACAGCCUUAAGAAGCCGCAUAUGUAUGUCGGCGCUGCAGACUCAAUGCAUUCAGUGCAUUCAUUACUUAAGAACGACUAUCAGGCGCAGCAGCAGCGUCAACAACACCUACAGCAGCAGCAUCACCACCAGCAACAACACCAACAACAACAUCAACCCAAUUCGGCCGACUAUCACUCGGAUCGCAUGUCAGAGGGUUCGGACAAGAAUGGCUAUCAUUUCCCCUACACCGCGGAGGAGGAUCACAUAACGAGCAAUCGCAAGCUUAGUCAUCAACACAAUCCAUCACCGUCGCUGCACAGCUCGCAUCAAAUGCUUAACGGGCAUGCGCAUGGACAUACGGUGAAUGAUAUGAAUAAUCCUGGUAUGCUGGGGCGGCAUACACUGAAUUCGAGUUCGCGACAUAGUUCGCGCGCCAGUUCGCCUCCUUCGAGCAUUGUGGCGCCCAUGCAGCCGUUGGCGCCGCUCACAAGCAUCACGGAUACAGAGUGGUCAUGGGAACGCCUAAAGAAAAUCUAAUUACAACUUUCUUUAUUUUCCGCUCACAAUAAAUUCAAAUAUGGCAAAAUGCAAAUUGUGCAAUGAAUUGCAAAUAUGGCGGCGAACAAAACCAAACUAAAAAUAAAACAUACAAACAAAUACACACACACAAAUAAAACUGAAAACAUAUCUGUUGGAAAUUGCGUUGCAAUGCGCAAAUAUACAUAUAACGGCCAUAAUACGAAUGCAACAACAACAAUGGUCAUACAUAUUUGCAUACAUAUGUAUGUUCACACUGCAUAUGUUAUCUACCAACAAAUAAUUGUGAAAAAUUUGAAAAAAAUAUCACAAAAAUAUGCAAAAAUAUUGAAUUGCAUGGAAUUGCAUUUGAUGCGCGAAAUUUGAAUAUACUUCUACACUAUUUACCAUAAAAUGACUAAUGGGAAUAAAACAACAAUAACAACAACAAACUGGCUAUGCAACAAAAAUAAUGCGCAUUUGCCAUAAAUGAUCAACUCUGCUCUGAAAUGGAAAAUUUGCAUUCGAAUAUUCAACCGCAACUGCAUGCCAUUUUCGCAACAAACAACCACUACAAAAACAACGAAUGCGUAUUCAAUUAUAUGCCGGCAAAUAAAAAAUUCAAAAAAACAAAACUCGGCUGUUCUUACACUCACGCGAACACAUACAAACACAUUAACUCGCUCAACAACAAUUUCUACCAACUCACAUAACGGACCACCCCCAUACGUUCGGAUGCCCGAGCAAACUCAACUAACAAUACUAAUAUUAUCUAAUGAAAUUUAAUAAAAAUGUUUACUAUUAUUUCCAACAACAACAACCAACAACAAAUCUACAAAUACAUUCACUCGCUCAACUACAAUUAAACUAAACUAUCGUACUACUCCUGUAUGUACUCUCUACAUUUUCAUUCAUCCACAACAACAACAAUGCAGUUCAGAGUUGGACAUUAUAUGGCUGCAUCGCUGGCGGCGCCGAUAUCCCUGGUCUCUGACAAUCUGG